Molecule: ribosomal RNA, 253 nt
Filed under: uncultured bacterium
Lineage: Bacteria
Description: partial 16S ribosomal RNA
Rfam family: Bacterial small subunit ribosomal RNA
Source: RNAcentral
UACGUAGGGGGCAAGCGUUGUCCGGAAUAAUUGGGCGUAAAGCGCGUGUAGGCGGCCUUGUAAGUCCGUUCUGAAAGCCCGGGGCUCAACCCCGGGAGGCGGAUGGAUACUGCAAGGCUCGAGUCCGGAAGAGGCGAGUGGAAUUCCCGGUGUAGCGGUGAAAUGCGCAGAUAUCGGGAGGAACACCAAUGGCGAAGGCAGCUCGCUGGGACGUUACUGACGCUGAGGAGCGAAAGCGUGGGGAGCGAACAGG